GCUGGAUGUGGUAGUGCAUACCUGUAAUCCCAGCAGCUCAGGAGGCUGAGACAGCAGGAUCGUGAAUUCAAAGCCAGCCUCAGCAAAAGCGAGGUGCUAAGCAAUUCAAUGAGACCCUGUCUCUA
This 125-nucleotide small RNA is filed under the name Marmota monax (woodchuck). The record is from RNAcentral. Lineage: Eukaryota; Metazoa; Chordata; Mammalia; Rodentia; Sciuridae.